RNAcentral lists this ribosomal RNA (253 nucleotides) under Chitinophagaceae bacterium. Its description in RNAcentral is "partial 16S ribosomal RNA". It matches the Rfam family "Bacterial small subunit ribosomal RNA", at positions 524 to 776 of the family's 1533-position model. RNAcentral also lists the same sequence under 2 other names. Lineage: Bacteria; Pseudomonadati; Bacteroidota; Chitinophagia; Chitinophagales; Chitinophagaceae. The record is from RNAcentral.
UACGGAGGGUGCAAGCGUUAUCCGGAUUCACUGGGUUUAAAGGGUGCGUAGGCGGGCAGGUAAGUCAGUGGUGAAAUCUCAGAGCUUAACUCUGAAACUGCCAUUGAUACUAUCUGUCUUGAAUUCUCUGGAGGUGAGCGGAAUAUGUCAUGUAGCGGUGAAAUGCUUAGAUAUGACAUAGAACACCCAUUGCGAAGGCAGCUCACUACGGAGUCAUUGACGCUGAGGCACGAAAGCGUGAGGAUCAAACAGG